This 253-nucleotide ribosomal RNA is filed under the name uncultured bacterium. RNAcentral describes it as "partial 16S ribosomal RNA". It matches the Rfam family "Bacterial small subunit ribosomal RNA", at positions 524 to 776 of the family's 1533-position model. The record is from RNAcentral.
UACGGAGGGUGCAAGCGUUAUCCGGAUUCACUGGGUUUAAAGGGUGCGUAGGCGGCUACGUAAGUCAGUGGUGAAAGCUUCCGGCUUAACCGGGAAAUUGCCAUUGAAACUGUGUAGCUUGAAUACAGUUGAAGUGAGUGGAAUACAACAUGUAGCGGUGAAAUGCUUAGAUAUGUUGUAGAACACCGAUUGCGAAGGCAUCUCACUAAGCUGUCAUUGACGCUGAGGCACGAAAGCGUGGGUAGCGAACAGG